CACACAACAGAAUUUCAUGAAACUUUGUAGAUAAUUAAGCACUGAUAUGAUAAAAUGUGAAACAAUUCAAAAGAGAAAAUCAACAGCCUAUUACAACAAUGAAGAGGGUUGGGGAAUACAGCUACAAACAACAACCACUACACUACAGGUUCCUUGAUAUGGACAGGGGAUACAGCUACCAACAACAACCACUACACAACAUGUUCCUUGAUAUGGACAGGGGAUACAGCUACCAACAACAACCACUACACUACAGGUUCCUCGACAUGGACAGGGGAUACAGCUACCAACGACAACCACUACAGGUUCCUCGACAGGCACAUAAUCAGAUUGUAAACAGAUCAAUUGUUUAAUGUGAUUGCCAUCAUGUCCUUGCUUAUUUGUUGACAGUUCAGAGAGGCUUGAAAUUAAUGAAUUUAAUAUUGUCUUAAUGCUGGUGAAUAAAACUUUUGAAAUUUUUAGGUCUGCGGAAGUGCAAUUGAUGUUCUUGUGUUUGAUGGAAAAAAUCACUCCCUGUUUGUAGAAUACCUCAUUUAGGUAAGUAAUCAGAUAUACAAGCGUU
RNAcentral lists this long non-coding RNA (562 nucleotides) under Mytilus galloprovincialis (Mediterranean mussel). Lineage: Eukaryota; Metazoa; Mollusca; Bivalvia; Mytilida; Mytilidae. The record is from RNAcentral.